UGGACGAAAGUCUGACGGAGCAACGCCGCGUGAGUGAUGAAGGUUUUCGGAUCGUAAAACUCUGUUGUUAGGGAAGAACAAGUACCGUUCGAAUAGGGCGGUACCUUGACGGUACCUAACCAGAAAGCCACGGCUAACUACGUGCCAGCAGCCGCGGUAAUACGUAGGUGGCAAGCGUUGUCCGGAAUCAUUGGGCGUAAAGCGCGCGCAGGUGGUUCCUUAAGUCUGAUGUGAAAGCCCCCGGCUCAACCGGGGAGGGUCAUUGGAAACUGGGGAACUUGAGUGCAGAAGAGGAAAGUGGAAUUCCACGUGUAGCGGUGAAAUGCGUAGAGAUGUGGAGGAACACCAGUGGCGAAGGCGACUUUCUGGUCUGUAACUGACGCUGAGGCGCGAAAGCGUGGGGAGCAAACAGGAUUAGAUACCCUGGUAGUCCACGCCGUAAACGAUGAGUGCUAAGUGUUAGGGGGUUUCCGCCCCUUAGUGCUGCAGCUAACGCAUUAAGCACUCCGCCUGAGGAGUACG
Molecule: ribosomal RNA, 522 nt
Filed under: uncultured bacterium
Lineage: Bacteria
Description: bacterial SSU rRNA
Rfam family: Bacterial small subunit ribosomal RNA
Source: RNAcentral